RNAcentral lists this ribosomal RNA (253 nucleotides) under uncultured bacterium. RNAcentral describes it as "partial 16S ribosomal RNA". It matches the Rfam family "Bacterial small subunit ribosomal RNA", at positions 524 to 776 of the family's 1533-position model. The record is from RNAcentral.
UACGUAGGUGGCAAGCGUUGUCCGGAAUUAUUGGGCGUAAAGCGCGCGCAGGCGGCCUUUUAAGUCUGAUGUGAAAGCCCACGGCUCAACCGUGGAAGGUCAUUGGAAACUGAAAGGCUUGAGUACAGAAGAGGAAAGCGGAAUUCCACGUGUAGCGGUGAAAUGCGUAGAGAUGUGGAGGAACACCGGUGGCGAAAGCGGCUCACUGGCUCGGUUCUGACGCUGAGACGCGAAAGCGUGGGGAGCAAACAGG